UGCCUAACACAUGCAAGUCGAACGAACCCUUCGGGGUUAGUGGCGCACGGGUGCGUAACGCGUGGGUAACCUGCCUUUAGGUUCGGAAUAACUCAGAGAAAUUUGAGCUAAUACCGGAUAAUGUCUUCGGACCAAAUAUUUAUCGCCUUUAGAUGGGCCCGCGUUAGAUUAGAUAGUUGGUGGGGUAAUGGCCUACCAAGUCGACGAUCUAUAGCUGGUCUGAGAGGAUGAUCAGCCACACUGGGACUGAGACACGGCCCAGACUCCUACGGGAGGCAGCAGUGGGGAAUAUUGGACAAU
RNAcentral lists this ribosomal RNA (300 nucleotides) under marine bacterium SIMO-IS123. RNAcentral describes it as "bacterial SSU rRNA". It matches the Rfam family "Bacterial small subunit ribosomal RNA", at positions 45 to 372 of the family's 1533-position model. Lineage: Bacteria; Pseudomonadati; Pseudomonadota; Alphaproteobacteria. The record is from RNAcentral.